GCAUCCGGAGUUUUAUGAGGAUGAGAGCCUCCGGGGGCAGGAGGUUCGACUCGAGCGAAGCGAGAGAACGUUGCGCUAGCAACGGCCCGCAGGGCGAGCCACGCAGUGGUGAGUUAUCCUCUAUCACCGACCA
This is a regulatory RNA element of Enterobacter cloacae, 133 nucleotides long. It matches the Rfam family "RtT RNA". From Rfam's summary of the family: This family represents a bacterial cis-regulatory element known as RtT RNA. The exact function of RtT is unknown although it is thought that it may be involved in changing the cellular response in relation to amino acid starvation. NCBI's taxonomy places the organism in Bacteria, Pseudomonadati, Pseudomonadota, Gammaproteobacteria, Enterobacterales, Enterobacteriaceae. The record is from Rfam.